This 147-nucleotide unclassified non-coding RNA is filed under the name uncultured Cylindrosympodium. RNAcentral describes it as "sequence contains ITS2". The record is from RNAcentral. Lineage: Eukaryota; Fungi; Ascomycota; Dothideomycetes; Venturiales; Venturiaceae.
CAAACCUCAAGCCUAGCUUGGUGAUGGGCCCCGCCCGCGCGGCGGGCCCGAAACUCGUGGGCGCCCCAGGCCGGACUCCAAGCGUAGCAAAACCCUCGCUUGCGGACGACCGGUCGGAGGCCGCCCCGGACCCCCAAUUUUAUCAAU